Molecule: ribosomal RNA, 468 nt
Filed under: uncultured bacterium
Lineage: Bacteria
Description: partial 16S ribosomal RNA
Rfam family: Bacterial small subunit ribosomal RNA
Source: RNAcentral
GACGAACGCUGGCGGCGUGCUUAACACAUGCAAGUCGAACGGAAAGGCCCUGCUUUUGUGGGGUGCUCGAGUGGCGAACGGGUGAGUAACACGUGAGUAACCUGCCCUUGACUUUGGGAUAACUUCAGGAAACUGGGGCUAAUACCGGAUAGGAGCUCCUGCUGCAUGGUGGGGGUUGGAAAGUUUCGGCGGUUGGGGAUGGACUCGCGGCUUAUCAGCUUGUUGGUGUGGUAGUGGCUUACCAAGGCUUUGACGGGUAGCCGGCCUGAGAGGGUGACCGGCCACAUUGGGACUGAGAUACGGCCCAGACUCCUACGGGAGGCAGCAGUGGGGAAUAUUGCAGAAUGGGCGGAAGCCUGAUGCAGCAACGCCGCGUGCGGGAUGACGGCCUUCGGGUUGUAAACCGCUUUCGCCUGUGACGAAGCGUGAGUGACGGUAAUGGGUAAAGAAGCACCGGCUAACUACGUG